Molecule: long non-coding RNA, 6132 nt
Filed under: Homo sapiens (human)
Lineage: Eukaryota; Metazoa; Chordata; Mammalia; Primates; Hominidae
Description: HSALNT0002510
Source: RNAcentral
GGGAGCCAUGAGGGCUCAAGGGAAGGUGUCCUGACAAAAGAGAGAGGGCAGAACAUUUCUGAAAGCUAAUGGGAAGGGUCCGGGAAGGGGACAGACUGAAGACGUGGGAGAUCUUGAGCCCUUCAGGGGCUGAGGUUGAAUCUGGUACAACAUCUCUGCCUGUAUCUGGUGCCCAGCCUAGAAGCUGGUGUAGAUGAGGGGCCAGGAAAGGGAUGGAGGAUCCUGCAGCAUGGCCUGGGAAUUCAGGACUUCAACGACAAUGAAGAAGAAAUACUGCCAAGAGCUGAGGUACCACUGGCAUCACUUGGGCCUGUGCCAUUCUGCCCACAUCCCCUUGGAAGUACAGAAUGGAGUACAGAAUCCCCCUCCUAUCUGGACUAGGCAGGGAGUUGAGGUGUGAUGAGGCCUUGCCAGCCGCUCUUCAUGGUGGGAAUACAUUCAAAUCCAGCCUCACCUGGAUAUCCCCCAGUGCCUUUUACCACCCGCUGUGAGUCUGAGGCCUCCCCAGCCAUGAGGAACUGUAAGUCCAAUUAAACUUCUUUUUCUUUCCAGUCUUGGGUAUGUCUUUAUCAGCAGCAUGAAAACCGACUAAUACACCAGGUUCAAGGUGAUGCUGUUCUCAUUCCACAAAUACAGUGUUGGCUGAAUCAGUCAGCAGGAUGCCUGGUCCUCCCCAGCCGCAGCUGAGCCUAGAGUCUAUCUCCUCAUUCGAUCAAAUUUGGGGGAAGGCCAGAGUGAAUCUACCUCCCAUUUACAGACAUAAACUUACUCAUUAACUCCUCACAGUAACUCUAUGAGAUAGGCAUUACCCCUACUUUGUAGAUGCCAAAAUUAAGGCCUAGUGAGAAUUAAUGAAAAUUACCUAAAUAUCUGAAUAUAGGGGACUGCUUUCAGUGAAUUGCUACAUUAUUCCUUUCAAGAACAUGUGGUGAUACAAACUAACUGUUGGCAAAGCGUUGCCAAGCACUGGUCCUGCUGGAUCCCCAUUAACUGGAGAAAUAAGGCUUAUCUGCAAUUAGCUCAUUCAUUGUAUGCAAAUGAUACUAAUAGCUUGAAAACAGUGUGUUCUCUUAAGUAGGUUAAACAUUCCCUUCUGAAAUCUUGUUUAUACUAUUUGAGCAACAAACUCUUCUUUUUUUCUUUCUUUUUUUGAGACAGAGUCUCCUUCUGUUGCCCAGGCUGGAGUGCAGUGGCGUGAACUUGGCUCACUGCAACCUCCGCCUCCCGGAUUCAAGCGAUUCUCCUGCCUCAGGCUCCCCCGUAGCGACUAAAGGCAUGCACCACCACACCCAGCUAAUUUUUUAUUUUUAGUACAGACAGGGUUUCAUUAUGCUGGCCAGGCUGGUCUUGAACUCCUGACCUCAGGUGAUCCACCCACCUCAGCCCCCUCAAAGUGCUGGGAUUACAGGCAUGAGCCACCGUGCCUGGCCCAAACUCUUCUUUUAUGGAGCAAGACAAACUCAGCCAGACCAGGCUGGGAGAAGGAUUACAAAUUGUCACUCAUUUGAGAUGAGACAUGGAGGUGUUGACAAGUGCUUGCCAACCUCACUAAUGGGAACCCAUGGAACAGAGGGCCAGCAAGAUUCAGCAUCACCUGAAUUAUUAAGCAUUUGUUGAGAGAUGAAAAUGGCUUCUUUUCUACCACCUGGAGAAACUCAAACUUUUUGCCAACGAAGUCUUGCCAACUGGAUGUCCUGCUGGGCCUACUUUAAUGAACAGAUAAGACUCCAUUUUAAUUAGCACACUAAUUGUUUCCAUGCAAAUGAAUGUGGGGAAAGAUCUUGCAAACAGUUUAUUUCCUUAAGUGGGUUACCAUGGUGCCCCCUGUAGCCCUGUGUAGGGGGCUCAAUUGCACAGCCAACUGUUUUGUUCAUUGAAGAGCACAAAUCCAGCUCAUCAAGCAUCUCCUGAACACAGCCCCUGUGCUGGGCUCUGUGCAAGAGUUGGGGAAUAAACCACACCCAGACCCUAUCUUCUAGGAGCCCACUGUAGAAGUCAAAGGUGAGAGUUGCUAAACUCUGUUGGGUAGAGCUCCUGGUUGUAAGCAACAGAAAUAAAUUCAGGAUAAUUGAUACAAAACAGAUGUAUUGGAGAGGUUAGGGGCAGAGGCAGGCCGGGCAGCAGGAGCCAUCUGGUAGGUACGCUGCCACUACUCAGACUCACCUCUGCCUGCCCCUGUGUCCUUGUGGCAUCAAGGCCAUUGCCUCUUGCCCGGAUGACCUCUGUAUUCUUCUCGCUGGUAUCCUGACUUCCCCUCUGGCCACCCCGCAAUACAUUCUCUCCAUGGCAACCAGAGGACACAUUUAAAACUGAAACUAGACAAUGCCACUGAAGGAAACCAAAAUAUUUCUCUCCAACAUAGGAUUUAUGGGUCUUUGUUAAAAUACCAUUCAGGCAAAACUCCUAAGCCACUGCCUUAAGAGAGAAAUACUUUUGAACUGAAGCCUCACCCACAUGAUGGGUAUAGCAUGUGUUAAUAAACUUCAGUUUGUUUUUCUUCUGUUAAUCUGACUUUUGUUUUCAGGAGAGUAUCUCAACUAUGGGCCUAAGAAGAGAAAGAAAAAAAAUUGUGAUUUCUUCCCUAGACCACCAGUGUGUGCCAAAACCUCUGAAGACCCAGUGUCCAGAGUUUGGUUUUCAAUAUUCUUCUCUAAAAAAAUAAACCACUGCUACCUGGAGAAAUGUCUGGUCCUAAGACUGGGCUGGAAAUACAGAAGAUGAGUCUGCGUCAGAGUAAGAAAAUGCUAAAAAGAAAUCAGUGAGGGUGUACCAAAAGGACAGAGGUGCCAACUGAAAGAGCUCCUCAUGGCCCAAACUAGAUAAUCUGAUUAAGGAAUUAAACAAUGUAGUAUUGCAGUAUAACUCAAAGUAUAAAGAAAAUAUCUAUGAUAUCUGUAUCUAUAAUAUCUAUGAGUCUGUACUGAUAUAAAUAGAUGAUUGAAUAAGUAAAUAAAUAAGGAAGAAUAGAUGAAUCUGCCACAGAGACGAGUUCCAAAUAAUUUUUGUAGAUACUCCCUGCAUCAAGGAGGCAGAACAUGACACUUCACCCUAUAAGCUGCAAACAGUGACUUCCUUCUCUAGGGUAGAGUAUGGCAAGGGGAAAAAAGAAUAGGUUCACAGCAGAGAAAUGUGGCAAACACCACCUCAGCCAGGUGAUCAAGGUCCGCAUCAACAGUAAUAAGUUGUGUUAGUAGCAUGCACUCUUAAUAUCAUAUGAGGAGAAGGGCACUUUACCUCUGUGGUCUUCCUCCUAAAACCCGUAAGCCCAGUCAAGAAACCCAUAACUCCAUGAGAAAAACAUCAACCAAAACCAUGUUGAAAAGACAGUCUACAAAACACUUGACCAGCAGUCCUCAAAACUGUCAAGAACACCAAAAACAAGGAAGCUCUGGAAAACUGAGGAAGGAAAUGAGAUUUAGCUCUAGGGGUGGGGCUCGGACACUAGACCAAAUUGAGGACUAGCUAAAACAGGUCAGGGUGGAAGCAGCUUUCUGUAAGAUCCGCCCAUCAGUGUGCCUUGUCAGUUUACCAUGGCCACCUGGAAGUUACUACCCAUUUCCAUGGCAACAACCCAACAACCUGGAAGUUGCCACCCUUUUUCCUAGAAAUUUUUGCAUAAACCACCCCAUUUUCUUUUUUGAGGUGGAGUCUUGUUCUAUCGCCCAGGCUGGAGUGCAAUGGCAUGAUCUUGGCUCACUGCAACCUCUGCCUCCCGGGUUCAAGCUAUCCUCCCACCUCAGCCUCCCAGUAGCUGAGAUUACAGGCAUGCCCAGCUAAUUUUUGUAUUUUUAGUAGAGAUGGGGUUUUGCCAUGUUGCCUAGGCUGGUCUGGAACUCCUGACCUCAAGUAAUCCACUUACCUCAGCUGGGAUUACAGGCAUGAGCCACUGUGCCCUGCCAAACCACUCCAUAAUUUGCAUGUAAUUAAAAGUGGGUAUACAUAUGAGCACAGAGUUGCCUCUGAGCUGCUACUCUGGGUGCACUACCUAUGGGGUAGCCCUGCUCUGCAGAGAGCAUUCCCGCUGCUGCUGCUGCUGUGCACUGCUGCGUCAAUAAAAGUUGCUGUUUAUCACCAUUGGUUCACCCUUGAAUUCUUUCCUGGGUGAAGAACCCUCCCAGGAUAAGCCCCAACUUGGAGGUUUGCCUGCCCUGUAUCAAAACCAUCACUACCAAGAAAAGCCUAAGAAGACAUGACAACUAGAAGUAAUGCAGUGUCUUGGAUGGAACACUGGAGUACAAAGGACAUCAGAUAAAAGGGAAAUCUGAAUCAAGUAUGGACCUUAGUUAAUCAUAAUGUAUCAAUGCUGGCUCCUUAGUUGUGACAAGUGAACCAUCCUAAUGCAACAUGUUAGCAAUAGGGCAGCGGUCCCCAGCCCUUUUGGCACCAGGGACCGGUUUCGGUUUCGUGGAAGACAAUUUUUCCAUGAACUGGGGUGGCAGGGGAUGGUUUCAGGAUGAAACUGUUUCACCUCAGAUUGCCAGGCAUUAGAUUACCAUAAGGAGCAUGCAACUCAGAUCCCUUGAAUGCACAGUUCACAAUAGGGUUCGUUCUCCUAUGAGAAUCCAGUGUUGCUGCUGAUCUGACAAGAGGCAGAGCUCAGGCAGUCAUGCUCACUCGCCCAUCGCUCACCUCUUGCUAUGCGGUCUGGUUCCUAACAGGCCAUGAACCAGUACCAGAACCCCAACAGGGGUUGAGGACCCUUGCAACAGGGGAAACUGGGUGUGGGGUAUGUGCGAUGUAUUAUCCUUGAAACUUUCCUGUACAUUUAAAACUAUUGUAAAAUAAGAUAUUUAUUGUAAAAAUUAAGUAAACAAAAUCUGCUGAAGGCUUCUCAGUGGACUAGGAAUAAAAUUCACCCUUCUUAUCUUGGCUGACAACACCUGUGUAACCUGGUCUCCUAUCCCCUCUCUGGCCACAUUGGCCUUCACUUGGGCUAGGACACAGGGCCUUUGCUCUUGGUGUUCCCUCCCCUAGAGUGCUCUUCCUCUUGUGCCUCUCUCUCUCUCUCAUCUUCCCUCCCUCCCUUUCCCCCACCCCACACUUCCUCCCUCUUGGCCAAGUCCUCCUUAUUGUUCACAUCUCAGCUUAAAUGCCACCUGUUUGGGGAAGCCACCUUGAGAAAUAUCUUAAGUGUACCCCCGCUGUCACUCUCCACCCCAGCAUUACAUUUGAUUCCUGCGCUGAAUCUGUGCCAAUCUCCCAUCAUUUUCUGUAAUUGUUCACCUGUUUAUUUCUCAGCAUCCCUAGCACAAUGGGCUCAGCCAUUCACAACAGUUCCCCUGGCACCUUGCAAGUAGUACUGGUUUAAUGAACAUCUGAUGGAUGAAGGGUGGAACCCAUGCCUGUCAAUUUGACAGGCAGAUGUGCUAGCCUUGUCACUCCCUUUGUGGACCUUGCUGCCUCUGGAAACCUUCCCUGAUGCCCACUUUGCACCCAAGCCUUGGUCUUUCAAUCCUCCAUACUCCCAUUCAUCCCUGUGGUUAAAGCAACGUGAUGCUUCUUAAAUACAGUCCCUGUCCUGGGUGUCAAACAACCUUGAAGCGAUUCUUACUCCAUGAUCGUAGUUACUUAGUUCCACGUACCCAAAAGUGCCUGUCAUUGCAUAAUUAGGAUGCACGAUGGAACAAAAUCAUCCCCAUGUUUUAUACCUCUAUCAUUUCCAACCUAUAUUUUUGUUACAACACCAAAAGUAAUUCAUGUAGCGAGAGGAUGGAGGGAGUACCUGGAGAACAGAGAGGGUGAUUUUCCUUUUGUCUUUCCCCAUGGCAAUAAGGAGGGAGCGCUGGUGACUUAGAGAAGAAAGCUAUUCAUCAUGUCCUCUGGAGAGAGCAGAUUCUCUUGCCCUGGAGCAUCCUACUGAGCUGGGUGCCGCGUUGUUUGUGGAACUUUCCAGAAUGAAUGAAAACCAGUAUGUCUUUGUGCUUAAGGCACAUUUCCAAUUUUCUGUGCUGACUGAGCAAAGAACUUCCUCAUCCUCGUGAAGGAUGCUUUGCAAAGUUAAAGACAACUUUUACUUAUGGAGGGAGCGGGAGACAGAGGGGUAUCCUUUAAUGCGUGCAGAGUUUCAGCCUGGGAUGAUGGAAAAGGAGAUGGAUAAUGACGGUGGUUGCAUGACCAUGUGAAAGUCCUUAU